Malus domestica (apple) is the source of this 3558-nucleotide non-coding RNA. The record is from RefSeq and is a predicted model, not a curated record. Lineage: Eukaryota; Viridiplantae; Streptophyta; Magnoliopsida; Rosales; Rosaceae.
CGUAGGCACAUAUUGUCGAACCAUAUAAAUUCUUGGUGUUAUUUAUCUUGGUUAUUUGUUUUCGAUUUCCGGAGAUUGUUCUAUUUUUCCCAUUCUUAAGCGCGAUAUUUUCAACAAUCCUAACUCCUAAUCUCUCUCUUCAUAGCCUUAAGUAAGGCAUUAGAUGAUGUUGAUUUCUCUUAUAGACAGAUGUUGGGUGCAAAACUUAAUAAACCAAGGCAUAAUAGCAAUGAUAAAAUCUGGUGAAAGUGACAUUGAAUUAACUCAUGAGAUAUUGUUAGCUCUCCAUUGGACCAAUACUGAGAGGUAUAAAACUUGAAAAUACAGGCAAAUAAAGAGUUUGAACAAAUACCAUGACCUGAAACAAAUUGACCAAUAUCAAGAACAGAGACAGGGCUAGGUUCUCCAUUGGUUUAUAAAUUCAGUUGGUCAAACUAAUUGAAUAAUGUAAAUUUGGUUUUGCAAAUGAGUGACAAAUUUGGACCUGAUUUCUCUUCGACCAUUGCUAUCAAGGUGAACUAUAAUCCUAAAGUUUCAGAGGUACUGCCAUUACUUUUUUAUAUGUGUUUUAUACAUUUUUACUUUGUUUUUUGGUUUUUCUAAUCUUUGAUUGAGAAAUUAAGCACAGUUUGAAAAAGUGCCAAUCUUUUUUUUUUUUUGUAAUGGCGCUGUGCUAAUCUUUAUAAAUACAACGUUUUAAACUGGCAAAAAAAUUAAGGUUGUGAUGUUUGUAGUUAGUGUAUGUGAUUAAUUGUGCCCGACUGUGUUGUAUGAUUUUCUUUCUUUAUUUUUCUUUUGUGGACUGUGGCAUUGCCUUCGUUUGUAUAUGUUUUGUGUCUUGCCAAUUUAAAGUUUAUUUUGUUGCUUUUAAAAUUUUCAUGUUAGCGUGAUGUUCAAACUUUGUGACCUUCUGAAAUAGGUGGGAGCAUAAUUCAUUCUACUAUAGAUUGUUUCCGUUUUCAUUUCCAUGAGUUAAAAGCUCAAAUCUCUAUAUUUUUGUGUUGGAGAAGUUUGUGGAACAAAUUGUGCUUUGCUCUACAAAUGACCAAUGUCUAUGUUUUUACCUAUUUUGAUAAUGCUUGAAUUAUGCUUCUUGGUUUUUAAUUGGGUUUUUGAGUAUUGAGUUGGAUAGAUAGUUCAUGGGUUUGGUUGCAUAUUUUUUGGAAAAAGAAAAACACAAAGAGGGCAACACACUGAGGAUAAACUUUUUCUCUUCAGGUUAGCAUUACUUCUUUUUCCUACAAGUCAUACAUGUGCUAAUAGUGUUGAACAAUGCCUAAUUUGGUUAAACUCUUCUCAUUUUGAUAAUUACCUUUUCCACUGCCUUCUCGAACUUGGAUUUAGUUUGAUAGAAUUUUGGUUUUAAGCAUUUAUAUAAAAAUAUCUCAUUCCAAUCAAGAAGUCAUUGAUCUAUUAACUCUUAUUUUGUUGAAGAUUUAGUGUAAAAGCUAGGAGUUACAAGUAUUACAUUCCAUUCACCAAGUCAUUGAUAUAUUAACUCUUAUUCGCUUGAGGAUUGGGAUUUUAACUCUUCUCAUCUUUACUGCAGUUACCCAAUUACAAGAAUAAACAUUCUCCAUUGCUUCUACCAACAAAUUGAAAACCGCAACAUUAAAAAUUCAUCACUGCGAUUUCACCCAUUUAUCAUAAAAUUGGAAGAUAUAACUUCAUACCAUCUCAGAGCAUCGCAAAGCAGAAAUAAAGGUUUUAAUUUUCUCUUGCUCCCUUAUUGGUCAUUCUUUCUCUACUUUUCCUCAAUUUAAGUCUACAAACAAGCUACCGUUUGUAAGUUCUAUCAAUCUUCAAUUUUUAAUUUUCUUGUUUUGAUUUUAGUUUUUUAUCACUAAUUUUAAUCAUUUGUGUCCACUAAUGAUAUCUUGGUAUGUUAAUUUGAAAACAUGUCCCUUCGCAUUGUAAAAUCUGGCAAAUUAUUUGAUGCAAUUCUGAUUUGAGCUUUUUAGACUUUACAAAUAGGAAGAUGAGGAGACAAAAAGAAGAAGUACAAAGGGAUACAUUUGGCUUCCACUUUUGAGGUUCCUUCCAUAAACACCCAAAAACUGGUGACUGGCACCCUGGAAUUACAAUCUAAACGGAGUUCUCCACUGGCUUAAGUAGAGUGGAGAACUCAAGUACAGAUCUCUCAAUCUGUUUCUCAAACUUAGAACCUCUGGUCUCUACAAAAAGAAGCAGUUUGAAAGAUUAAAAUGUUGUCAUUUGGUAUAGAUGAUCUUGGCAGGGCCCGUUUAUUUGGCUUCUCUAAGUCUUACUAUACUAGACUGGACUAACACUUAGUCCAGUGUGUGUUUGGAGCAGGGACUACUUUUAAUGGUACUACAAGGGACUCGCCUCGACCAGCAACCUCUUUAGGUGGUCUUUGCGAGACCCCCCAAAAACAACAAGACUGUUAAGACCGUAUUCGUUCGUCUGCUUCGCUUGUCUUCUUCAUUCGUCUGCUUCGCUAACCAACUCUCCCAACAGGUCUCAAAUCGAUGGGCUCCAGCUCGAAGAAGAGUCUAGGUCGGCCGGAUCUGGGGCCUUAGACGAUGACGGUGGUUUGUUGUUUGAUACAGGAUCUGCCAUAUCCCAGAUGACAUAACCCGUAUGACAAAACCCAGAUGACAAAGUUUGAAACAAAAAAACAAAGAAACUUUUUGAUGAUGAUGUCAAUUACCGAUGAUAUGAUUUGGAUUAUAAGAAAUGGGGUUGCGGGGAAUGGAUAUGUUUGGAAUUUCCAGUAAUAAUUUAGCAAAAAUGGAAGAUGAAUGAUGUAUAAUAGAAUCAGAGAGGAGUGGGUGGAGGAUCAAACAUGCUUCUGGUCUGCAAUUUCAACAUCCAGAUAACAAUAAGCUCUGAGAAAACCCAGAUGACAAAACGGUAACCAAAAGAGAAUUUUGAAUAAUUUGGAGGGAUCCUGAAGAUUCUUGAAAAAUGGAUGAGUUGAAGAUUGUGAAAAAUGCUGAGGCUUUUUCUGAGAAUGAGUGAAAAGAAUGGAAUUUGCUGAUGAGGGAGAAAAUAGAUAGAGAGAGAUUGAGACGGUGACAGACUGGAAAGUAAGAGGAGAGAUUUGGGAAAGGGGAAAAAGAAUUCUAGAAAAGGAAAAAAAAAACGAAAAAAAAAGAAAAAAAAUAUAUUUUUUUAAUUUUUUUAUUUUAGUUCUUAGUUUGACAUUGCAUCAAACUCCUUAUUAAAUCAAUCCAGCUUAGUUUAUUCUAAGCUAGUUCAGUUUAGUCUCUGAAGCUAGUCCAAUUCAGUACAACAAAUGAACCCUCGGUUUCCUUUUCAGAAUUCUUUUAUUCUCCUUUUCCCAAUGUUAAUAUUUUACUCCAUGAUAGAAGUUUUAGGGUCUAAUUUCAUUUUUGUUGAUGAAUGUGCAUUUUAGCUUUAUUUUUUAUUUUAAUUUAGAUCCUACAAGUUCAAGGCAUUGAUGAUGGAAUUAAAUUCAGCGCUGCUUAUUGUUCCUUCAUUGGCCUCAUAUGAAAAUCCACAGCUUGAAAUGUGGGAGCAUGGUAUUUAGUAAGGAAAAUUAAUGAAAAUGGCUUGAAAACUUUGAGUUUUAAU